RNAcentral lists this ribosomal RNA (714 nucleotides) under Psychrobacter sp. RNAcentral describes it as "bacterial SSU rRNA". It matches the Rfam family "Bacterial small subunit ribosomal RNA", at positions 202 to 902 of the family's 1533-position model. Lineage: Bacteria; Pseudomonadati; Pseudomonadota; Gammaproteobacteria; Moraxellales; Moraxellaceae. The record is from RNAcentral.
AGGGGGCAGUUUACUGCUCUCGCUAUUAGAUGAGCCUAAGUCGGAUUAGCUAGAUGGUGGGGUAAAGGCCUACCAUGGCGACGAUCUGUAGCUGGUCUGAGAGGAUGAUCAGCCACACCGGGACUGAGACACGGCCCGGACUCCUACGGGAGGCAGCAGUGGGGAAUAUUGGACAAUGGGGGAAACCCUGAUCCAGCCAUGCCGCGUGUGUGAAGAAGGCCUUUUGGUUGUAAAGCACUUUAAGCAGUGAAGAAGACUCUUCGGUUAAUACCCGGAGACGAUGACAUUAGCUGCAGAAUAAGCACCGGCUAACUCUGUGCCAGCAGCCGCGGUAAUACAGAGGGUGCAAGCGUUAAUCGGAAUUACUGGGCGUAAAGCGAGCGUAGGUGGCUUGAUAAGUCAGAUGUGAAAUCCCCGGGCUUAACCUGGGAACUGCAUCUGAAACUGUUAGGCUAGAGUAGGUGAGAGGGAAGUAGAAUUUCAGGUGUAGCGGUGAAAUGCGUAGAGAUCUGAAGGAAUACCGAUGGCGAAGGCAGCUUCCUGGCAUCAUACUGACACUGAGGCUCGAAAGCGUGGGUAGCAAACAGGAUUAGAUACCCUGGUAGUCCACGCCGUAAACGAUGUCUACUAGUCGUUGGGUCCCUUGAGGACUUAGUGACGCAGCUAACGCAAUAAGUAGACCGCCUGGGGAGUACGGCCGCAAGGUUAAAACUC